RNAcentral lists this ribosomal RNA (484 nucleotides) under uncultured bacterium. RNAcentral describes it as "partial 16S ribosomal RNA". It matches the Rfam family "Bacterial small subunit ribosomal RNA", at positions 30 to 507 of the family's 1533-position model. The record is from RNAcentral.
AUUGAACGCUGGCGGCAGGCCUAACACAUGCAAGUCGAGCGGAUGAAGGGAGCUUGCUCCUGGAUUCAGCGGCGGACGGGUGAGUAAUGCCUAGGAAUCUGCCUGGUAGUGGGGGAUAACGUCCGGAAACGGGCGCUAAUACCGCAUACGUCCUGAGGGAGAAAGUGGGGGAUCUUCGGACCUCACGCUAUCAGAUGAGCCUAGGUCGGAUUAGCUAGUUGGUGGGGUAAAGACCUACCAAGGCGACGAUCCGUAACUGGUCUGAGAGGAUGAUCAGUCACACUGGAACUGAGACACGGUCCAGACUCCUACGGGAGGCAGCAGUGGGGAAUAUUGGACAAUGGGCGAAAGCCUGAUCCAGCCAUGCCGCGUGUGUGAGGAAGGUCUUCGGAUUGUAAAGCACUUUAAGUUGGGAGGAAGGGCAGUAAGUUAAUACCUUGCUGUUUUGACGUUACCAACAGAAUAAGCACCGGCUAACUUCGUG